UUUUUAAGAUCUGAGGGGGGAAAAAACCCACAUGUGUUGCCAAAGCUAGUUCUUUCCCUAGAUCUGGUUUUACAAUUUCUGGUAAUAAAC
This 90-nucleotide small nucleolar RNA is filed under the name Mus pahari (shrew mouse). Its description in RNAcentral is "snoRNA (MGP_PahariEiJ_G0034838.1)". The record is from RNAcentral. Lineage: Eukaryota; Metazoa; Chordata; Mammalia; Rodentia; Muridae.